Molecule: ribosomal RNA, 471 nt
Filed under: uncultured bacterium
Lineage: Bacteria
Description: bacterial SSU rRNA
Rfam family: Bacterial small subunit ribosomal RNA
Source: RNAcentral
AGGGUUUGAUUCUGGCUCAGGAUGAACGCUGGCGGCGUGCUUAACACAUGCAAGUCGAACGAACCUUCGGGUUAGUGGCGGACGGGUGAGUAACGCGUGAGAAUCUGCCCUCAGGAGGGGGAUAACGGUUGGAAACGACCGCUAAUACCCCAUAUGCCUAUUGGUGAAAUGAAUUUCGCCUGAGGAUGAGCUCGCGUCUGAUUAGCUAGUUGGUGAGGUAAUGGCCCACCAAGGCUUCGAUCAGUAGCUGGUCUGAGAGGAUGAUCAGCCACACUGGGACUGAGACACGGCCCAGACUCCUACGGGAGGCAGCAGUGGGGAAUUUUCCGCAAUGGGCGAAAGCCUGACGGAGCAACGCCGCGUGAGGGACGAAGGCCUUUGGGCUGUAAACCUCUUUUCUCAAGGAAGAAGAUAUGACGGUACUUGAGGAAUAAGCCACGGCUAAUUCCGUGCCAGCAGCCGCGGUAAUAC